Molecule: long non-coding RNA, 526 nt
Filed under: Equus asinus (donkey)
Lineage: Eukaryota; Metazoa; Chordata; Mammalia; Perissodactyla; Equidae
Description: lncRNA (ENSEASG00005030207.1)
Source: RNAcentral
UGGGAUUUAAAGCAACGAUUUCAAGCUGCCACGGGUCUGAACAAGUUGAGGAAAUGCUGUGUGCACCUUAGGCAGCUCACGACAGGGCGCAGGAGAGAUGAUCACCAAUGGGCUAAUGCGUAUUCUGCCAGACCUCUUCCAUCUUGGGCCUGGCGAUUUUGGAAUGCUGUGGACGUUGACAGUCGUUACAACUUUCUUCAGAAUAUGUGCGUAUGCUGCUUUCCUCUGGAGAUCUGUCCUUGCUGUAAAAGCAGAAGUAGGAGGACCUUCCUGAUUCCUGGGAACACCCAGCAUGCUGAACCCAGUGGGGUGCCCAUGCAUGGGUGCUGGACCAGGUGCACCUCCUCUGGCGUGGUCACCUACGAUGCCUCAGCCUGCACUACAUGGAUUGGGAUUUUUUUGGAUAUUUUUCAAAGAAUUACACCCAAGCAUUUCAUGCAUGCCCACACUUAAAUCCCCAGCUUGUCGUUAUUACUGCCUACCUGCAAAUUGCUCUAUUGGCCAUUUACUGCUGGAAGAAGCUCUU